RNAcentral lists this long non-coding RNA (3691 nucleotides) under Nicotiana tabacum (common tobacco). Its description in RNAcentral is "long non-coding RNA (NTAB_LNC015077)". The record is from RNAcentral. Lineage: Eukaryota; Viridiplantae; Streptophyta; Magnoliopsida; Solanales; Solanaceae.
ACAUGGUGAAAGAAGCUCAUGAUAAGAAUAUCAAAAAUUGCGGGAUCUAUUAUCAUAUGACAAUGCCUUAGAAAGCAGCAUUGUUGUUGCAACAACACCUCAACUGUAGAGAGGCAACAGAAAAUCAUCUUCUUGCAAACACAAAUCAUGUCAACUCCAUCUCAAAUGCAGGGUAAUCUUGCUAUUACACCUUCCUUCUACUUCAGAAAUAUGUUAGAAUAUCGAAUCUUCUAUUUAUUUCUUUCCUCAUACAUCAUAUAUAUGAAUAUAACAAUGGUUAUGCAUGAAAACAAUGGUAUCCGUCCAACUUGCAUGCUCUAUCAUAGGGGUGUACAAAGGAAAUCGACAAACCGCACCAACCCGAUAAUCCGAGUCAAACCGGAAAAAAAAUCCGACUAUGGUUUGGUUUGAUUUGGUUUGGUGUUGGAAAAAAAACCCGACCAUAAUUGAUUUGGUUUGGUUUUAACUAAAGAAAGUCAAACCGAAACUAAACCAACCCAACAUUACAUAUAUAAAAAUUUUAGAUUUAUUUAAUAUAUAAAUAUACUUAUUGUGAUGCAAUUUAUAAAUAUUUCUUAAAAAUUUUCAUAAUUUUAUCUUUUAAGGUCUUAUUCAAGGUUGGACUUAGAACUUUUGAAUGCUCCAAUAAGUUUUAUAUCCAUUAAUAUUAGUAAAUUAAAUAAUUCUAACAAAAGCCCAAACCAAAAUCAAAUCAAUACUAAUACUAAGAAAAGACAUUCAAUUCAAUAUUACGAACGGGAAUGUAUUAAAUAUCUAUUUUUUAUUUUGCAAUAAUUUACAUAAAAAUGCAUAACCUAUUUUAUUUUUCUUUAGCGUUUAGUCAAUUUAGUAUUUGGCUUUGUUAAUUAUUAACUACUUAUUAUUUUUCUUACAUUUUUAGAUUAUACAGCUCAGAUUUGUUCUUUAAAUAACUUGGCGUCAUUUAUAUGAUUUUUUAGUAACUAUAGCAGCUAACCUGCAUUUAAUUUCUUUAUGAUGAAAGAUUAUACUAUGGAAGUCAUCUGAUAUGUAUCGAGAUAAUGCCAGCCUAUUCUCUUCUACAAUAGUUUUAAAGCCACCAGCAGAUUGCCACAACUUAGCUUAAUGUCUUAGUUGUGAAUCAGAUAUCAGACAUACUUUUUGUUAAUGAUAGCGAGGAUGUAUAUGAAACGACAUAUGAUUUUGGAGACAAUAUGGAGGAUUACCGUGUUACCAGUAACUUAUUAGGUAAAGAUAUUAUGUGGUAAUAUACCGAUGAUAUAAUAUCUUUAACUCAUUUAAAUUUACUUUCAUUGUUCUCCUGUCUUAUUUAUGUGUCGAGGCAUGUACCUAUUGUUUUAUAUAUGUAGACCAUUUUAUGUGCGUAGCUGAUUUGGAUAUUUAUAGUGGUAAUAUAAAGAAUGACUCUAUAUAGUUUAUAUAAAAUCAUAUACUGUGAGAAAUUUAGUUGAGUGAAGAAAAAGGAAAAAACGUACACGUAAAUUUUCUUUUAAUCAAAUUCUUGGUGUGGCAUUGAACACCAUGAUAUUGAAUGGGGCUUUGGCUACUAGAUCCCAAGAAGAAGAAGAAAAAUUAACUAGAGUUGUGGCUGAGAAGUUAUUUAUAUAUACGUCAAAAAUGGUCUUUUAUUUUUGAUAUUCAUCGAUAAUUUACAGCACGAUAGAUAUUGCUACAAUGUAAAAUAUAUUAAAUUGCCUAAAGGAAAAUAUAUUUACCUUUUUUAACUUCAUAUGUUGUUUUAUUUUGUUCUUAAAAUCCCUUGUUUAGUUAAACUAUAUUGAUUUAUUUUGGAAGUGUGUUUAUGAUAAGAAUUGCAUAUUUCUUAAUACCUAACCUUUUAGUUCUCAUUUUUUAUGAGCAGAUUCCUAGAUAUUGCUCAGAAUGCAUUGGCCAUUAAUUUUAUUUUAUUUUCCUUUCCCUUGUCCACCUUUUCCUUUUUCUCUAGGAGUUCCUUGUGUGGAUGAUCUUUUAUCAAAGUUGGAUUCUCUUUUUCAUGCAGGUGGUUGGAACAUUGUCCUUAUUGCUUGCUCAAUCUCCCAAGCUACACAAAUACUGGUCUUACACUUGCUCACGAUGUUUAUUGUAGUUGGUAAAUAUCUUAAUUAUGAUAUUUACUUGCUUUUGUUUGCCCUCUAACAUACUAUUGAUAUGCCUAUCACCUUUAUUGAGUUCAAAAUUGAGUAGUGUGCAGUUAAUAGUAGUAAUCACAAUAAAACAGUCAUAUAUUCUUCGACGGAGAUAUAAUUUCUAAAUUUUACUGUUGUAAAUACAUAAAAAGUUAUGGUGACCAUGAGUUUUUUCAUUUUUUUUAUAUUUUGUUGUUUAUAUGUGUAUCAUUUUCUCAUUUUAUGACUUAUGAUCUUUAACUAUGUUUCUCUUCAUAGUUUGAGCGUAUAAUCAUAGUUACUUCAUCGUAGAUGAUCUCUUCGUCAAAUUACUUAGGUUUUUCUUUCAAGCGUUCUUCUUUUCUAAUCUUCAGCUUAGGCUUUGUUUGUAGAGUGAAGAAAUAUAUGUACUUUCUGGCAAUUAGGGGAAUUGCAUUUGCUUCGCUUCAUCGGAACGACAUAUAAUUUCAUAAAUUCUACUUACAGUCUUUAGAGUCAGAGGCGGAUCCAGGAUGUUUGAAGGAUGGAUUCAUUAUUACUUUUUUAAAAAAAAAUUAAACCAAAAAGUUGGUAAGGGAUUUGAUCCCCUGACCUUAGGCUAUUAGAAAUAAGAGACCAAAACCAGUGCACCACUUAGUCUCUUUUGAUCAUGGGUUCCAUCAAGUAUAUAUAUCUAUAUUUUUCAAAUUAUGUACAUCAUAUCCAUACUUUAACUCGAGGACCACGGGUUCACGUGAACCAUGUUUCACAUGGUAGAUCCGCCUCUGUUUAGAGUUAUAAUUUGCUUUCAAUUUGAUCAAGUAAAAUUUAUUCCCUUUGGUUGAUUAAAAUUUUAUAAUCUUUAUUCAAAAAAAUUAUAUUUUAUACUGGAAAAAUAUUAUAAGGUGUAAUUACCCUAUAAGAGAAUAGACUCCCAGACAUACACAUGUGAAAAUUUUACCUUUUUAAGUACUGAUUUAUUUCUCCUCUGUCCUAUUUAAAGUCCUUUUUGUAAGAAGUUUUUUUCUCCCUCUCUGAUGCUUGCAUUGUAAUUUAUGUUUAUGUUCAGAAUCUCACUAUUCCUUAUAUUUGUGUUACUUAAAUAUUUAAUCAAAAAAAUAAAUUCUCAUAGCAUAUAUUAUUAGCUUCUUUAAUAUUUUAAUUCCUGAGUUUCCACUACUAAGGUUUUCCUCCUCCAAUUUCUUCGCCCUCUCUUUAGUGAUUUUGUCGGUUCAUUACUUUAGUAUUUUUCUGUUGUCUUUGAAUUUCUUUUUAGGAUGGUGGACAACGGGAUCGAUCUCUCAUUCGUGAUACUUAUCCGUUCAAAGUGUGAGGAAGAUCGAUGGAGUUGAAUGCGACCACUCUAAGAAAAGAUUUAGUACUUUAAUUUGUCCGUGAUUGUUUUGAGUAUUAUUUAGCUUAUGCAAACUCCUUUCGCUCUCCGUUGUAUCUGUGUUGAUUCGCGACUUUUGCCUUUGCAUUAUUCUUCUUAUAAUAUAGCUAAUGACCCGAAGAUUUAGAAAUUGCCUUUCCUCUAUUCUGAUCCAUCUCCUACUAAUAAAUUUUCUUGGCGUUAAGUGUUUAUCAUUCGGAAAAUCUACUCAAAC